CAACCUGUAAACAUGUCAGUGGCGUCACAAUGUUGCACAACAGCAGCAGAACAUUGGAUGGAGGGUCAUUGUAUCAUUACACAGUGUCACUGUCUAUUCUACUGUAUUGGUACAUGUGGUAUUACAAUACAUUAGAAGAUCUGUAGAUGGCAGCAUUGAAACAAUUUACAACACAUCGUCAACUAGCAACCUACUCUGUUUCAGUGCUGUUUAAAUAUCCCACUUAUUUUAUUCUGCUGUUAGAGGCCAUCAGUAGAGACAGUCAGGAAAAUAGUCUUUGUAGCAAGUUUUUUUCUGUCAAACCUGGGAAGUGUGUCUAUAUAGCACCAUACGUUCUUCAGAAGCUGGACAGCAUAUGAAUAGAAUCCAUCUUCUCUCACCUUCUCCCCUCAAGACCAACAUCACACAAGAUGCUUCAGAACAACAACAACAACAACAAGCUGGUGAAGUUGCUACCCAACAGGAACAACCAAUAUGUUUAAGUUCUAUAGUCUACCAAGUGUUAAUGUCAUUGUAGAGGGUGGGUCCCAAAGACCCUCCCCAUUAGUGAUUAAGGGGACUUGAAGAUUCAUAUGUUUUGCUGCAGGCCUUAUAAUAGAUACUGUUUCUAUGUGUCUAAAACUCUGCCACUAUACGUUGUACAAGCAUCUAUAUUAGUCUUUGUGGUUAGGCCCUGGCUGAUGUGAGAGUGGGCUUGCAGGCUGGGUCUGAGUCUAUAUUAGUCUUUGUGGUUAGGCCCUGGCUGUUGUGAGAGUGGGCUUGCAGGCUGGGUCUGAGUCUAUAUUAGUCUUUGUGGUUAGGCCCUGGCUCAUGUGAGAGUGGGCUUGCAGGCUGGGUCUGAGUCUAUAUUAGUCUUUGUGGUUAGGCCCUGGCUGAUGUGAGAGUGUGCUUGCAGGCUGGGUCUGAGUCUAUAUUAGUCUUUGUGGUUAAGCCCUGGCUGUUGUGAGAGUGGCCUUGCAGGCUGGGUCUGAGUCUAUAUUAGUCUUUGUGGUUAAGCCCUGGCUGUUGUGAGAGUGGCCUUGCAGGCUGGGUCUGAGUCUAUAUUAGUCUUUGUGGUUAAGCCCUGGCUGUUGUGAGAGUGGGCUUGCAGGCUGGGUCUGAGUCUAUAUUAGUCUUUGUGGUUAAGCCCUGGCUGUUGUGAGAGUGGGCUUGCAGGCUGGGUCUGAGUCUAUAUUAGUCUUUGUGGUUAAGCCCUGGCUCAUGUGAGAGUGGGCUUGCAGGCUGGGUCUGAGUCUAUAUUAGUCUUUGUGGUUAAGCCCUGGCUGUUGUGAGAGUGGGCUUGCAGGCUGGGUCUGAGUCUAUAUUAGUCUUUGUGGUUAGGCCCUGGCUGUUGUGAGAGUGGGCUUGCAGGCUGGGUCUGAGUCAGACUGAAACUAGAUAAAGAGAAGUAACCACUGUCUGGUUUUGACAUGUUGAUAUUGUGUGGUAGUGGACAAUGCUAAUGAAUUCAGAGGAGAUACUGUACCAGGUUACUUUAUAAGGUAACCUCAGCUUAUUGAUACACACAUACAUUGACGUAGGUGAUUAUACCACCAGGUAGUGACCACAUGUAUAUAAUCAGCUGUGCCCUUAGGUGGGUUGCAGAACUUACUCUGAAACAUACAUGCUGUGUUCCCGUUGUCAACUUCUGUCUGCAACCACAUUAAUAAAUGAAUGAUUGAUUUACUUAAA
This is a long non-coding RNA of Oncorhynchus nerka (sockeye salmon), 1671 nucleotides long. RefSeq lists it as uncharacterized. Lineage: Eukaryota; Metazoa; Chordata; Actinopteri; Salmoniformes; Salmonidae. The record is from RefSeq and is a predicted model, not a curated record. The transcript has 2 exons.